This 593-nucleotide ribosomal RNA is filed under the name uncultured bacterium. Its description in RNAcentral is "partial 16S ribosomal RNA". It matches the Rfam family "Bacterial small subunit ribosomal RNA", at positions 355 to 1375 of the family's 1533-position model. The record is from RNAcentral.
UGGGGAAUCUUCCGCAAUGGACGAAAGUCUGACGGAGCAACGCCGCGUGAGUGAAGAAGGUUUUCGGAUCGUAAAACUCUGUCUUUUGGGGCGAACGUGAGUAUGGUGAACAAUCAUAGUCAGUGACGGUACCAAAGGAGGAAGCCACGGCUAACUACGUGCCAGCAGCCGCGGUAAUACGUAGGUGGCAAGCGUUGUCCGGAAUUAUUGGGCGUAAAGAGCGCGUAGGCGGGAUAGUCAGUCUGUUGUAAAAGUGCGGGGCUCAACCCCGUGAUGGCAAUGGAAACAGCUAUUCUUGAGUUCGACGAGGAGGAAGGAAGUGGAAUUCCCAGUGUAGCGGUGAAAUGCGUAGAUAUUGGGAGGAACACCAGUGGCGAAGGCGACUUUCUGGACUGUGUCUGACGCUGAGGCGCGAAAGCCAGGGGAGCGAACGGGAUUAGAUACCCCGGUAGUCCUGGCCGUAAACGAUGGGUACUAGGUGUGGGAGGUAUCGACCCCUUCCGUGCCGGAGUUAANGCAAAUAAGUACCCCGCCUGGGGAGUAGGUCGCAAGACUGAAACUCAAAUGAAUUGACGGGGUCAUAGCUGUUUCCU